CAGGACACACACAGUCUGUUCUCAGGAAGAUCAGGAGUCAAAAAAAAAGAACACUUCAGAACACUAUUGAGAGACCUGAGCCAUUGUGCAGGCCCAAGACGGGGCAAAGAGGACUCAUUGAGACAAGGUGCACCUGCUAAAACUGGCACUAAAACCAGGCAGCUACUGCAAACCAGCAGUGCCCAGCACCAACAGAAAGCAAGUCUUUGUUCUUCUGGCACAAGAGGACUCCUUUACUUGCUCAGUGAAAAACUCACACAUAAGAAGGAAAAGCUACACAACUGCCAAGAACUGCAGAAGUACAACUGGAAAAAAUACUGUCUUUGGCCUUGUAGCUUGUAUCAAUUAUUGCUUUUAACAAAAGAUACCAGCAAUGCCUUUCAGCAUAUUCAGCAGCAAAACAAUCUUCACUUGCCAAUACUGCUGGGCUACAGCAAAUCCAGGACACCGCAGCAGCCAAGUGCUCCUCAUGUGGCUGUUGUCAGAAAAGUCCUCGCUCUCCCCAGCCCAAUCCAAAGUAAGGUACUGACCCAAAAUGCUGAGAUGGUGAGAGACACCAUAAACCCGAACUCACCAAGAGCUGGAGCUGAGCCCAGAGAGGUGCAGAGUGACCCUCUGCAUCCUCAUCCCCCUAGCAUCUCCCUCAGCAGCCAGAACAUCCCAGCACCUCCCUCCCACCUGCUCUGAGCGCUCCCCCUCACCCAGUCCAGCCUGUAAAAUACACAAACUGCCACAGUUCUACUCCUUCUAAAUUGAUACUUUGACACAUUGGCUACUUCUAGGAGUAUGUACCUCACCCCAGCCCAGGACAGAGCUCCAUGUUUUAACAGACACUUCACCAAGCAUGCUCACGGUGCCUUUUUACACACUCAGAAGAUUGUUAACCAGCUAGAGCCUUUCCCACUCCCCUUUUCCAGCCAUGCUCUUCAAAGAGCUCUAUUUACAUGCCAAGCUACAAAGCAACGUGGAAAAACUGAAGCUUUUAUGAUUCUACAGUGAGGUUUUUCACAACAUGAAGCAGCUUCUUAGACUAUUUUUUUUUUCAUUUUUUUAUUUCCAAACAAGAUUUCACAGUUAAAAAAAAAAAAAAUCUCAGUCCACCCACAGGCUUUUGAGGAACAUUAACAGAGGGUCUUCAAAAGAAGAGAGCUCUGCAACCUUAAGCAUUGCAUUCUGAAUGAACAUCCAUGGAAAAACUGCGUACAAGUCAGAAACAAGAGUCACCAAAACCCACAUAUGCACCAGAGUUGAAACUAUUUCUCCCAUGUUUAGGUCUGGCAUGGCUUGCCUUAUGCCAUCUUCUGUUGUACCUUUCCAAUUGCUUACUGUCUUCUCAUUUACUUCUGAGCCUUUGGUUUGAAAUCAGCUGUGUCUGAAAUCCCUUCUAGGACAAGCCACCAAGCCAGUGUUGGUCAUUUCCUCAGCAGCAUUGAUACCAGUUUGCCCUGGGGCUCCCCCAGCCCCCAACACACAAGAAUUUCUAUGUGGAACCUUUCUCCAGUUCCCCGAGAAAUCAAGUCCUAGAUUUCCACCUCAUAUUCUGUCAACCACACAGAGCAAGAACUGACACUUCAUCAGCAUCUUCUUUGUGCAGAGAUGAAAAAUACUGCCAAGAGUUCAGCAGAAACGAGUCUGGAUGAACAGCCUGUGCAAAUAAAGCCCUUUAUAAAACCA
Long non-coding RNA from Cyanistes caeruleus (blue tit), 1674 nucleotides. The record is from Ensembl. Lineage: Eukaryota; Metazoa; Chordata; Aves; Passeriformes; Paridae.